This 67-nucleotide ribosomal RNA is filed under the name Trichoderma viridescens. RNAcentral describes it as "partial 28S ribosomal RNA". The record is from RNAcentral. Lineage: Eukaryota; Fungi; Ascomycota; Sordariomycetes; Hypocreales; Hypocreaceae.
UGACCUCGGAUCAGGUAGGAAUACCCGCUGAACUUAAGCAUAUCAAUAAGCGGAGGAACACCUCCCU